AGAGUUUGAUCCUGGCUCAGGACGAACGCUGGCGGCGUGCCUAAUACAUGCAAGUCGAACGAACCGCGACUGAGUGCUUGCACUUGGUCAAGGUGAGUGGCGAACGGGUGAGUAACACGUGGGUAACCUACCUCAUAGUGGGGGAUAACAGUCGGAAACGACUGCUAAUACCGCAUAGGACAUGGAAUCACAUGAUUCUGUGAGGAAAGGUGGCGCAAGCUAUCGCUAAGAGAUGGACCCGCGGUGCAUUAGCUAGUUGGUAGGGUAAAGGCCUACCAAGGCGAUGAUGCAUAGCCGACCUGAGAGGGUGAUCGGCCACAUUGGGACUGAGACACGGCCCAAACUCCUACGGGAGGCAGCAGUAGGGAAUCUUCCGCAAUGGACGCAAGUCUGACGGAGCAACGCCGCGUGAGUGAAGAAGGUCUUCGGAUCGUAAAGCUCUGUUGUUAGAGAAGAACAGCGCAUAGAGUAACUGCUAUGCGUGUGACGGUAUCUAACCAGAAAGCCACGGCUAACUACGUGCCAGCAGCCGCGGUAAUACGUAGGUGGCGAGCGUUGUCCGGAUUUAUUGGGCGUAAAGGGAGUGUAGGCGGUCUUUUAAGUCUGAUGUGAAAGCCCACGGCUCAACCGUGGAGGGUCAUUGGAAACUGGGAGACUUGAGUGCAGAAGAGGAGAGCGGAAUUCCAUGUGUAGCGGUGAAAUGCGUAGAUAUAUGGAGGAACACCAGUGGCGAAGGCGGCUCUCUGGUCUGUAACUGACGCUGAGGCUCGAAAGCGUGGGGAGCAAACAGGAUUAGAUACCCUGGUAGUCCACGCCGUAAACGAUGAGUGCUAAGUGUUGGAGGGGUUCCACCCUUCAGUGCUGGAGUUAACGCAAUAAGCACUCCGCCUGGGGAGUACGGCCGCAAGGCUGAAACUCAAAGGAAUUGACGGGACCCGCACAGCGUGGAGCAUGUGUUUAUUCGAAGCACGCGAGAACCUUACCAGGUCUUGACAUCCCGACGACCGCUCUAGAGAUAGAGUUUUUCUUCGGGA
RNAcentral lists this ribosomal RNA (1034 nucleotides) under uncultured bacterium. RNAcentral's name for it is "bacterial SSU rRNA". It matches the Rfam family "Bacterial small subunit ribosomal RNA", at positions 8 to 1025 of the family's 1533-position model. The record is from RNAcentral.